GUCUUAUUAGUUUAAUUCUAAAACUUUGGUUUGUGACGCCAACAAUAUUUAAAAAAUAUAAGGCC
RNAcentral lists this transfer RNA (65 nucleotides) under Aeolothrips indicus. Its description in RNAcentral is "tRNA-His". Lineage: Eukaryota; Metazoa; Arthropoda; Insecta; Thysanoptera; Aeolothripidae. The record is from RNAcentral.